Molecule: ribosomal RNA, 322 nt
Filed under: uncultured eukaryote
Lineage: Eukaryota
Description: partial 18S ribosomal RNA
Rfam family: Eukaryotic small subunit ribosomal RNA
Source: RNAcentral
CCCUUAGAUGUUCUGGGCCGCACGCGUGCUACACUGAGUGGAUCAGCGGGUCAGGUUGCGCGAAAGCGUUUCCUAAUCUUUAAAUCCACUCGUGAUGGGGAUUGACGGUUGCAAUUUUCUGUCAUGAACGAGGAAUACCUUGUAAGCGUGGGUCAUCAUCCCGCGCUGAAUACGUCCCUGCCCUUUGUACACACCGCCCGUCGCUCCUACCGAUUGAGUGGUCCGGUGAGGCUUUGGGAUCUGAGCGGAAAGAGCGUUUCGCUGUUUCUGCUCGGAAAACUCAGUCGAACCUUAUCAUUUAGAGGAAGGAGAAGUCGUAACA